ACGGAGGGUGCAAGCGUUGCUCGGAAUCACUGGGCGUAAAGCGAACGCAGGCGGGUAUUUAAGUCGGUUGUGAAAGCCCGGGGCUCAACCCCGGAACUGCAAUCGAAACUGGGUACCUUGAGUUCGGGAGAGGGAAGCGGAAUUCCUGGUGUAGAGGUGAAAUUCGUAGAUAUCAGGAGGAACACCGGUGGCGAAAGCGGCUUCCUGGCCCGAUACUGACGCUCAUGUUCGAAAGCGUGGGGAGCAAACAGG
This 252-nucleotide ribosomal RNA is filed under the name uncultured bacterium. RNAcentral's name for it is "partial 16S ribosomal RNA". It matches the Rfam family "Bacterial small subunit ribosomal RNA", at positions 525 to 776 of the family's 1533-position model. The record is from RNAcentral.